GAUGAACGCUGGCGGCGUGCCUAAUACAUGCAAGUCGAGCGAACGGACGAGAAGCUUGCUUCUCUGAUGUUAGCGGCGGACGGGUGAGUAACACGUGGAUAACCUACCUAUAAGACUGGGAUAACUUCGGGAAACCGUAGCUAAUACCGGAUAAUAUUUUGAACCGCAUGGUUCAAAAGUGAAAGACGGUCUUGCUGUCACUUAUAGAUGGAUCCGCGCUGCAUUAGCUAGUUGGUAAGGUAACGGCUUACCAAGGCAACGAUGCAUAGCCGACCUGAGAGGGUGAUCGGCCACACUGGAACUGAGACACGGUCCAGACUCCUACGGGAGGCGGCAGUAGGGAAUCUUCCGCAAUGGGCGAAAGCCUGACGGAGCAACGCCGCGUGAGUGAUGAAGGUCUUCGGAUCGUAAAACUCUGUUAUUAGGGAAGAACAUAUGUGUAAGUAACUGUGCACAUCUUGACGGUACCUAAUCAGAAAGACACGGCUAACUACGUG
Molecule: ribosomal RNA, 497 nt
Filed under: uncultured bacterium
Lineage: Bacteria
Description: partial 16S ribosomal RNA
Rfam family: Bacterial small subunit ribosomal RNA
Source: RNAcentral